RNAcentral lists this ribosomal RNA (79 nucleotides) under Enterococcus lactis. Its description in RNAcentral is "partial 16S ribosomal RNA". It matches the Rfam family "Bacterial small subunit ribosomal RNA", at positions 1 to 79 of the family's 1533-position model. The record is from RNAcentral. Lineage: Bacteria; Bacillati; Bacillota; Bacilli; Lactobacillales; Enterococcaceae.
UUUUAUGAGAGUUUGAUCCUGGCUCAGGACGAACGCUGGCGGCGUGCCUAAUACAUGCAAGUCGACCCAUCCCUUUGCC